RNAcentral lists this ribosomal RNA (650 nucleotides) under uncultured bacterium. RNAcentral describes it as "bacterial SSU rRNA". It matches the Rfam family "Bacterial small subunit ribosomal RNA", at positions 62 to 710 of the family's 1533-position model. The record is from RNAcentral.
UUUGAACGGCGAGCUUGCUUUUCCGCUGACGAGUGGCGCACGGGUGCGUAACGCGUAUACAAUCUGCCUCUUACAGGGGGAUAGCCUUUGGAAACGAAGAAUAAUACCCCAUGGUAUCCUGACCCCGCAUGGGCGUCGGGAUUAAAGAUUUAUCGGUAAGAGAUGAGUAUGCGUCCUAUUAGCUAGAUGGUGUGGUAACGGCACACCAUGGCCACGAUAGGUAGGGGCCCUGAGAGGGGGAUCCCCCACACUGGUACUGAGACACGGACCAGACUCCUACGGGAGGCAGCAGUGAGGAAUAUUGGACAAUGGGCGGAAGCCUGAUCCAGCCAUGCCGCGUGCAGGAAGACUGCCCUAUGGGUUGUAAACUGCUUUUGUACGGGAAGAAACCCACCUACGAGUAGGUGGCUGACGGUACCGUAAGAAUAAGCAUCGGCUAACUCCGUGCCAGCAGCCGCGGUAAUACGGAGGAUGCAAGCGUUAUCCGGAAUCAUUGGGUUUAAAGGGUCCGUAGGUGGAUCGGCCAGUCAGAGGUGAAAUCCUGCAGCUCAACUGUAGAACUGCCUUUGAUACUGCCGGUCUUGAAUUAUCGUGAAGUGGUUAGAAUAUGUAGUGUAGCGGUGAAAUGCAUAGAUAUUACAUAGAAUACC